AAAUUUUCAGUAAAUUUUUAGUAUUAUCUUUCACUAUUGUACCUUUUAUUGUAGUGAUCCUUUGGACUAGAAUGUUUUCUAAACUGCCUUAUUCUUACUUUGGAUUUUAUCUUGUUAACUCCCUUCUUACCCAAUAGGUUCCAGGAUCCCAGAAGUCUUGCCUCAUUCACAGUCUGAAUGCUCUUCUGUUACUUAUCACACCAUAUUGCAGUAAUCUGUUCACAAGCCACUGGACCACCAGUGCUUCCAAAAACGACACACUGGAGUAAAUAUAGAAGGCUUCUUAUAAUUCAAGUUUCUGAGAACUGGGGGGAUCAAUACCUUGGGAACAUCUGUGACAUUUCUGAGGUACAGUAUAGAGGUUGGGAGUUCUAGCUUUAGAGUUAGUCGUCUGGUAAACAAGAAGUCAAAUGCAACAAAACAUAUCAGAUCAACCAAAAUGCCAGAGCACUAUGUUGAUAGAUGUUACACUACUCAAAACAGAUUAACUGCCUCCUCCUCUAUGCCCGUCAUGGAGUACAGUUGUUUUUGAAGGCAGGAAUGAAUUUAAUUAUAUAAUAAUAACAACUAACAUUUGAAUACUUUCUGGAAGUUUAAAGCACUGAUUCUCAAGUUUCAGUGUGUAUGAGACUUAUCUGGAGAAGUAGCUGAAAUGUAGAUUCCUGAACUAUACCCUCAGAAAUUCUGAUUCUUGGCAGUGGAGUUCAAGAAUCUGCAUUUUUAACAGGUAUCCAAAUGAUUCUAAUGUAGAUGUCUCUGGACCAUAUAUGUUAAGCAGCACUGGUUUCAAAUGUAAGAAAAAAAAUACUACAACCUUUAGUAAAACACUUUAAUACACUUUAUAGCUUGAUCCAAUUCACACACACACAUUUGUGUUGUGUGUGUGUGUGUGUGUGUGUAUUGCAGAGUUUCACAUACAUAUAUGUGAAUAUAUAUAUAUAUGACAGAAUUUCACAAAAUAAUACUAACCCUUACUAUGUGCUAUAUAGUGAUAUAUUUUCUACUUUACUCAAUUUCAUCAGAAAAACAUUGCUCAUGAUAACAUUGAUUUCACAUCAUUUAUCUCAUUUGAGCUUCAAAUCAGUGCUGCAAAGUGAAAAGUCAAAGUCGCUCAGUCGUGUCCAACUCUUUGCGAUCCCAUGAAGGUAAGCACCUUUAACUGCAUCUUUUUUCACUUGAAAGUUAAAUCUUGGAGAGGAUUAAAGUUCCC
RNAcentral lists this long non-coding RNA (1210 nucleotides) under Bos indicus x Bos taurus (hybrid cattle). RNAcentral describes it as "lncRNA (ENSBIXG00000026270.1)". The record is from RNAcentral. Lineage: Eukaryota; Metazoa; Chordata; Mammalia; Artiodactyla; Bovidae.